CUACGUGCCAGCAGCCGCGGUAAUACGGAGGGUGCGAGCGUUAAUCGGAAUUACUGGGCGUAAAGCGAGCGCAGACGGUUACUUAAGCAGGAUGUGAAAUCCCCGGGCUCAACCUGGGAACUGCGUUCUGAACUGGGUGACUAGAGUGUGUCAGAGGGAGGUAGAAUUCCACGUGUAGCAGUGAAAUGCGUAGAGAUGUGGAGGAAUACCGAUGGCGAAGGCAGCCUCCUGGGAUAACACUGACGUUCAUGCUCGAAAGCGUGGGUAGCAAACAGGAUUAGAUACCCUGGUAGUCCACGCCCUAAACGAUGUCAAUUAGCUGUUGGGCAACUUGAUUGCUUAGUAGCGUAGCUAACGCGUGAAAUUGACCGCCUGGGGAGUACGGUCGCAAGAUUAAAACUCAAAGGAAUUGACGGGGACCCGCACAAGCGGUGGAUGAUGUGGAUUAAUUCGAUGCAACGCGAAGAACCUUACCUGG
RNAcentral lists this ribosomal RNA (478 nucleotides) under uncultured bacterium. RNAcentral describes it as "bacterial SSU rRNA". It matches the Rfam family "Bacterial small subunit ribosomal RNA", at positions 501 to 978 of the family's 1533-position model. The record is from RNAcentral.